AUUUUAAAUCUAGCCCUAAACACAAAAUACUUUCCCUAAUAUACAAAACAUU
RNAcentral lists this ribosomal RNA (52 nucleotides) under Desmognathus marmoratus. RNAcentral describes it as "partial large subunit ribosomal RNA". Lineage: Eukaryota; Metazoa; Chordata; Amphibia; Caudata; Plethodontidae. The record is from RNAcentral.